Molecule: ribosomal RNA, 271 nt
Filed under: uncultured Eubacteriales bacterium
Lineage: Bacteria; Bacillati; Bacillota; Clostridia; Eubacteriales
Description: uncultured Clostridiales bacterium partial 16S ribosomal RNA
Rfam family: Bacterial small subunit ribosomal RNA
Source: RNAcentral
UUCGGAUUGAAGCCUUGGUGACUGAGCGGCGGACGGGUGAGUAACGCGUGGGUAACCUGCCUCAUACAGGGGGAUAACAGUUGGAAACGACUGCUAAUACCGCAUAACAUCAAUUUAUCGCAUGAUAGGUUGAUCAAAGGAGCAAUCCGCUGGAAGAUGGACUCGCGUCCGAUUAGCCAGUUGGCGGGGUAACGGCCCACCAAAGCGACGAUCGGUAGCCGGACUGAGAGGUUGAACGGCCACAUUGGGACUGAGACACGGCCCAGACUCC